ACCAACGGCCGCCGGGAUCCGAGCAACGGCUCCAACGGCCGCCGGGGCGCGGCGUCCCGCCACGGCCGCCGCCCGCCUGUUUUGGAGCCUGCAGCUCUUCAGAAAAGCUGGGUCCCCAUCCCGGUGGUGGGGAGAGGGCAUCUCUGGGUUCUCUGUCACGACAGUAGGGCGGUGGCACUGAGCACGGCCGCAGCUGCCUUCCCACCAAAAAAGCACGCAGAUCCGAGGUGCAGGGUGACCAACAAGGCUGCAGAGUGUCUCCUCCUCCUUCCAAACACUGGGAAACUUGACAGGAGAAAUCAAAUGUGUGUGACUUCUUGUAUCAAGACAGAAGUCUUACCCCAUGUACAAACCUUACCAGUUGCCAAAUGUUGGGAAAGUUUCUGACUUCAAGAACUGUUAUGAAAAGCCCACAGUUUCUGAAUUCUGACUGCAUCUCCAUCCAGCAUGACAGCAUCCAAGCCACAGUUUGCUCGCUGCAUCUCCUUCCACUGCUACAGUAAAA
This is a long non-coding RNA of Gallus gallus (chicken), 505 nucleotides long. RefSeq lists it as uncharacterized. The record is from RefSeq and is a predicted model, not a curated record. The transcript has 3 exons. NCBI's taxonomy places the organism in Eukaryota, Metazoa, Chordata, Aves, Galliformes, Phasianidae.